Molecule: transfer RNA, 64 nt
Filed under: Tetraserica leishanica
Lineage: Eukaryota; Metazoa; Arthropoda; Insecta; Coleoptera; Scarabaeidae
Description: tRNA-Cys
Source: RNAcentral
GGCCUUAUAGUCAAUGCAUGAUUUUAAAUUGCAAAUUUAAAGGAGGGGGGUUCCUCUAAGGCUU